AUUGAACGCUGGCGGCAUGCCUUACACAUGCAAGUCGAACGGUAACAGGUCUUCGGAUGCUGACGAGUGGCGAACGGGUGAGUAAUACAUCGGAACGUGCCCGAUCGUGGGGGAUAACGAAGCGAAAGCUUUGCUAAUACCGCAUAAGAUCUACGGAUGAAAGCAGGGGACCGCAAGGCCUUGCGCGAACGGAGCGGCCGAUGGCAGAUUAGGUAGUUGGUGGGAUAAAAGCUUACCAAGCCGACGAUCUGUAGCUGGUCUGAGAGGACGACCAGCCACACUGGGACUGAGACAUGGCCCAGACUCCUACGGGAGGCAGCAGUGGGGAAUUUUGGACAAUGGGCGAAAGCCUGAUCCAGCCAUGCCGCGUGCAGGAUGAAGGCCUUCGGGUUGUAAACUGCUUUUGUACGGAACGAAAAGACUCUGGUUAAUACCUGGGGUCCAUGACGGUACCGGAAGAAUAAGCACCGGCUAACUACGUG
Molecule: ribosomal RNA, 482 nt
Filed under: uncultured bacterium
Lineage: Bacteria
Description: partial 16S ribosomal RNA
Rfam family: Bacterial small subunit ribosomal RNA
Source: RNAcentral